RNAcentral lists this small nuclear RNA (100 nucleotides) under Suricata suricatta (meerkat). Lineage: Eukaryota; Metazoa; Chordata; Mammalia; Carnivora; Herpestidae. The record is from RNAcentral.
UUAAGCAGCACAUAUACUUAAAAAAAUGGGAAAGAUACAGAAACUAGCAUGGCCCUUGUGCAAGAAUGACACACAAAUUUCUGAAGUGUUUCAUAUUUUU